UACACUCCUACGGGAGGCAGCAGUGGGGAAUUUUGGACAAUGGGCGAAAGCCUGAUCCAGCAAUGCCGCGUGAGUGAAGAAGGCCUUCGGGUUGUAAAGCUCUUUUGUCAGGGAAGAAACGGUGAAAGCUAAUAUCUUUUGCUAAUGACGGUACCUGAAGAAUAAGCACCGGCUAACUACGUGCCAGCAGCCGCGGUAAUACGUAGGGUGCAAGCGUUAAUCGGAAUUACUGGGCGUAAAGCGUGCGCAGGCGGUUUUGUAAGUCUGAUGUGAAAUCCCCGGGCUCAACCUGGGAAUUGCAUUGGAGACUGCAAGGCUAGAAUCUGGCAGAGGGGGGUAGAAUUCCACGUGUAGCAGUGAAAUGCGUAGAUAUGUGGAGGAACACCGAUGGCGAAGGCAGCCCCCUGGGUCAAGAUUGACGCUCAUGCACGAAAGCGUGGGGAGCAAACAGGAUUAGAAACCCUGGUAGUCCCA
Molecule: ribosomal RNA, 474 nt
Filed under: uncultured organism
Description: partial 16S ribosomal RNA
Rfam family: Bacterial small subunit ribosomal RNA
Source: RNAcentral